RNAcentral lists this transfer RNA (71 nucleotides) under Camelus bactrianus (Bactrian camel). It matches the Rfam family "tRNA". Rfam says of the family: Transfer RNA (tRNA) molecules are approximately 80 nucleotides in length. Their secondary structure includes four short double-helical elements and three loops (D, anti-codon, and T loops). RNAcentral also lists the same sequence under 2 other names. The record is from Rfam by way of RNAcentral. Lineage: Eukaryota; Metazoa; Chordata; Mammalia; Artiodactyla; Camelidae.
GGAGUAACAGCUCAGUGGUAGAGCACGUGCUUAGCAUGCAUGAGGUCCUGGGUUCAACCCCAGUACCUCCA